Panicum hallii is the source of this 314-nucleotide long non-coding RNA. RefSeq lists it as uncharacterized. Lineage: Eukaryota; Viridiplantae; Streptophyta; Magnoliopsida; Poales; Poaceae. The record is from RefSeq and is a predicted model, not a curated record. The transcript has 3 exons.
GCAGAAGUGCUCUUCUUGGGACAAUUUAGCACGACAGUUGUUGUGCUUGGAGCUAUAUUUGGCAUCACCAAUACCUUUCGACCAUUCUCAGAUGAUAUCUUUCGUUACAAAUUUGAGGAACCAUUUAAGUUGCAAAAUGGUUGGCUUUUGUGGGCUGGAAUCGGCAUCCUUGUUGCAAUAAUUUCUAUUGCUUUAGCUGGAGCUGCAAUGACAUUUCUGAAUGGUGAAACGCCACAGAGAGAGGUAUGUAUGCUUCCAUAACUAUCUAUUAUCCAUCUUAUUGAUUAGUUUGAAUGUUCGCAAUGUCCUUACUA